CGCCAAUAGAGACAUUUCCGUAAGUCAUUCUUUCCCGCUCAGCUACGCGGGGAGUCAUGUGCUGCGAUGGCUCUUAUGUUGCUGACAAGCUAGCCUGGCCCUGAGUAAACAGCACUUCAUCAUCAACACAACCCAACUGUACAUACAGGUGAAUGUGAAGAAUUCUCUUUUGGCCCGUGAAGUCUUCAGGAGCUCAGAUCUCCCUCAUCACGACCAAACUUCCCGUGUCAUUAGCCUCAUGUAUGAGGCACUGAGGCAGACUUUAAAUACAGCUUAGCAAUGAUCUGUAUGCCCUGCCUUCAAGGCAGAGAGGACUUGGGAUCAA
Long non-coding RNA from Tupaia belangeri chinensis (Chinese tree shrew), 325 nucleotides. RefSeq lists it as uncharacterized. The transcript is spliced from 3 exons. The record is from RefSeq and is a predicted model, not a curated record. Lineage: Eukaryota; Metazoa; Chordata; Mammalia; Scandentia; Tupaiidae.